RNAcentral lists this ribosomal RNA (429 nucleotides) under Chloroflexota bacterium. RNAcentral's name for it is "Chloroflexi bacterium partial 16S ribosomal RNA". It matches the Rfam family "Bacterial small subunit ribosomal RNA", at positions 355 to 776 of the family's 1533-position model. The record is from RNAcentral. Lineage: Bacteria; Bacillati; Chloroflexota.
UGGGGAAUAUUGCAAAAUGGGCGCAAGCCUGAUGCAGCCAUGCCGCGUGUAUGAAGAAGGCCUUCGGGUUGUAAAGUACUUUCAGCGGGGAGGAAGGGAGUAAAGUUAAUACCUUUGCUCAUUGACGUUACCCGCAGAAGAAGCACCGGCUAACUCCGUGCCAGCAGCCGCGGUAAUACGGAGGGUGCAAGCGUUAAUCGGAAUUACUGGGCGUAAAGCGCACGCAGGCGGUUUGUUAAGUCAGAUGUGAAAUCCCCGGGCUCAACCUGGGAACUGCAUCUGAUACUGGCAAGCUUGAGUCUCGUAGAGGGGGGUAGAAUUCCAGGUGUAGCGGUGAAAUGCGUAGAGAUCUGGAGGAAUACCGGUGGCGAAGGCGGCCCCCUGGACGAAGACUGACGCUCAGGUGCGAAAGCGUGGGGAGCAAACAGG